CCUUAGGAGUUUGGAACUUGGGUCAGAUUGAGUAGAGGCGGCCACCCGUUUCACAUGCACGUCGAACGGCAGCAUGAUCUCGCUCGUUAGUUUGAUGGCGAGUGGCGAACGGGUGAGUAAUGCAUCGGAACGUGCCUCGUAGUGGGGGAUAACUAGUCGAUAGAGUAGCUAAUACCGCAUACGACUUGAGGGUGAAAGCGGGGGAUCGCAAGGCCUCAUGCUAUAGGAGCGGCCGAUGUCUGAUUAGCUAGUUGGUGAGGUAAUGGCUCACCAAGGCGACGAUCAGUAGCUGGUGUGAGAGGACGAUCAGCCACACUGGGAGUGAGACACGGCCCAGACUCCUACGGGAGGCAGCAGUGGGGAAUUUUGGACAAUGGGGGAAAGCCUGAUCCAGCAAUCCCGCGUGUGUGAAGAAGGCCUUCGGGUUGUAAAGCACUUUUGUCCGGAAAGAAACGUCUUUGGUUAAUACCCGGGGUAGAUGACGGUACCGGCAGAAUAAGCACCGGCUAACUACGUGCCAGCAGCCGCGGUAAUACGUAGGGUGCAAGCGUUAAUCGGAAUUACUGGGCGUAAAGCGUGCGCAGGCGGUUGUGCAAGACCGAUGUGAAAUCCCCGAGCUUAACUUGGGAAUUGCAUUGGUGACUGCCCGGCUAGAGUGUGUCAGAGGGGGGUAGAAUUCCACGUGUAGCAGUGAAAUGCGUAGAUAUGUGGAGGAAUCACCGAUGGCGAAGGCAGCACUCUCUGGGAUAACACUGACGCUGAUGAGCGUUGG
RNAcentral lists this ribosomal RNA (772 nucleotides) under Ralstonia sp. RNAcentral's name for it is "bacterial SSU rRNA". It matches the Rfam family "Bacterial small subunit ribosomal RNA", at positions 1 to 759 of the family's 1533-position model. Lineage: Bacteria; Pseudomonadati; Pseudomonadota; Betaproteobacteria; Burkholderiales; Burkholderiaceae. The record is from RNAcentral.